Ictalurus punctatus (channel catfish) is the source of this 1115-nucleotide RNA transcript. It is a transcript of the gene named integumentary mucin C.1, with no coding region annotated. The record is from RefSeq and is a predicted model, not a curated record. Lineage: Eukaryota; Metazoa; Chordata; Actinopteri; Siluriformes; Ictaluridae. The transcript has 9 exons.
AGGAAACCUUUGCAGCUUUUAAAGAAAAGUCUCCAUGUGUGGCAUAAUACUUUAACCAUGGGAGGAGUUUACUGUAACUGGAAAUGUACGUCACCAGGUAAGACAUCUGAGUACAAGCCUCAUAAGAAUGCUUCCUGACAAGGAACAGGUAUUGACAGAAAGACUGCACACACACACACACCUACCUUAGUCAGGAAUAACUGCAUCAGCAAGAAACAUGUUGCUCUCAAUCCUUUUUGUUGGAGCGGUUCUGUUUACAAAUGGAGUAACCGUUAAUGAGUGUACACACUUUUGCAAGAAGGUUUCUACCCCACCUCCCCCCAAUUUCUACAUUUCUACUUAUUUUUAACCUCAGACAGAACCAACAACCACAAACGUGUUUAUUCUUUUUGGUAAUGAUACAGCAGAUAUAGCAUCAUCUAAUACAGCAACAACAACUACUACAACUCAGCCAACAGCACUCACAACCACAGCUCUUCCCGUUGUUAAUGAUACAACACAUACAACAACAACAACAACAACAACUGAGAGCACAACACUCACAAUGAUAAACACGACCACUCCUGAUACUGCAACAACUUCAACUAUAUACCCCUUACCCUCAAUCACCACCUCAGGGAACACUCCUAGUACGGUGUCUUACGCAGUGAACCCUGUGCGUAUCGGGCUGCGAGCUGUGCUCAAAUCUACUCUGCAGCUGAAUAUAACUCUAGCCAACCAGCUUUUGCAGCAGUAUAUAGCGUAUCUUCCAUCAUACUACAACGUAACAGCCAGAGUAACAAGCAUUACAACGCUAUGAAGUGCUGCAUCAGAAGGAUGUUCAGGAUAUUUUCAAGGCCCUUGAUCCUCUUUUUAAUUCUUUGAGAGCAUUUCUGUUAUUGUAAUUGAUUUAACUUUUCCCAAAUGAUUGCUUUUGCAUUUAUUUGAGACUGUAAUCAAAAGUUCAAAUUAUGACAAUAAAGUUUAAGUUAAAUUAAGUUCAAAUAAUGACAAAUUAUGGGAGAGAAUUAAAGGUAACUGAUUGGUAGUUAAUAAUUAUAAUAUGAUUUUUCAACAAUGAAUGAAGCAACAAUGUUAACAAAUGAAUGAAUUAAUAAACCCUACUGAAUGACAAA